CUGGAAUGACAGAUAGGGGACAAUUCUGCCGCUUGACAAUAAUUGUUCUCCUAAUUACAGCAAUGACAUUUACUGGAAAGCCACUGCAAUCCCAUUACCUUCUUAUGCUAAAUUCGGUGACUUUAAAAUUGCAUUCCCUGUCUCCUCCUCCUGGUAUUUAUCCCUCUGGAUACAGGCGUGUUCACCUGCAGCACGGGGUGUCAGGGAUGCUCCUGGAGGGCCCUGAAGGAGAUGCUAUUCGUUUGGGCUUGGGUCAGGUUUUUUGAGGGGGAUUGAUUCUUUUUCCUGUCUUAUCCUGCAUUUUCUACCUCAUCAUCUGGAUGGGAGAUGCUGGAAUAUUCAAGUGGCUGGGGAGGUGACAACACCCCAGGCACUGCCACCCCAGAAUUAAUCCAUUGCAUUAAUCCAUCACCCCCAGCAGAACAGAGGACACCAGGCAGGAGGAGUUUGACAGCAGUAUUUCUUUUUCUGUAUUGCAGGUAGCUCCCUCAAGCCUGAACAUCCUCAUUCUCCCUCAUCACUAAGAGAAAGGGAAUGUUGUGCUGCAGAGACCUUCUCCAGGGAAGUUUGGAAAACACCAGGGACAAGCACGAGGUUCUGGGCUGCAGCCACAGGGAACAGUCCUGCUGCUUCCCACUGCUUCUUCCAGAUGUUCCUCGGCUCUACCAACUUCAUUUGGGGUCUCCCUUCAACGUCCCCCCAAGGUGCUGCACCCUGACUCGGCAGGACAAAGUCUUGGAGGCCUCUGAGGCUUCUGGAUAUCUUUGGUGUGUGUUGGCACAAAGGCAGUCCAGCCAGGACAGAUUCUCCUUGUG
Molecule: long non-coding RNA, 815 nt
Filed under: Cyanistes caeruleus (blue tit)
Lineage: Eukaryota; Metazoa; Chordata; Aves; Passeriformes; Paridae
Description: lncRNA (ENSCCEG00000010385.1)
Source: RNAcentral